CCUACGUGAUGCAGCAGUGGGGCAUAUUGCACAAUGGGGGAAACCCUGAUGCAGCGACGCCGCGUGAGUGAAGAAGUAAUUCGUUAUGUAAAGCUCUAUCACCCGGGAAGAAAAUUACGGUUCCUUAGUAAGACGCCCCGGCUCACUACGUGCCCGCAGCCGCGGUAAUACGUAGGGGGCAAGCGUUAUCCGGCUUUACUGGGUGUAAAGGGAGCGUCGACGGCGGUGCAAGUCUGGGGUGAAAGGCGGGGGCUCAACCCCCGGACUGCUCUGGAAACUGUAAGGCUGGAGUGCAGGAGAGGUAAGUGGAAUUCCUAGUGUAGCGGUGAAAUGCGUAGAUAUUAGGAGGAACACCAGUGGCGAAGGCGGCUUACUGGACUGUAACUGACGUUGAGGCUCGAAAGCGUGGGGAGCAAACAGGAUUAGAUACCCCUGUAGUC
This 440-nucleotide ribosomal RNA is filed under the name uncultured bacterium. RNAcentral's name for it is "partial 16S ribosomal RNA". It matches the Rfam family "Bacterial small subunit ribosomal RNA", at positions 338 to 795 of the family's 1533-position model. The record is from RNAcentral.